This 218-nucleotide ribosomal RNA is filed under the name uncultured bacterium. Its description in RNAcentral is "partial 16S ribosomal RNA". It matches the Rfam family "Bacterial small subunit ribosomal RNA", at positions 524 to 745 of the family's 1533-position model. The record is from RNAcentral.
UACGUAGGGUGCGAGCGUUGUCCGGAAUUAUUGGGCGUAAAGAGCUUGUAGGCGGUCUGUCGCGUCUGCUGUGAAAAUCCGGGCUCAACCCCGGACUUGCAGUGGGUACGGGCAGACUAGAGUGUGGUAGGGGAGACUGGAAUUCCUGGUGUAGCGGUGAAAUGCGCAGAUAUCAGGAGGAACACCGAUGGCGAAGGCGGCCCCUGCUCGACCUGACC